Molecule: long non-coding RNA, 337 nt
Organism: Daphnia magna
Lineage: Eukaryota; Metazoa; Arthropoda; Branchiopoda; Diplostraca; Daphniidae
Exons: 3
Source: RefSeq, a predicted model, not a curated record
ACUUACAGCUAGUUUUCCAUUUGUCUGCCUAAUUGAACACCGUUUCUUCCUUAGUUUGCUCUGUGUUCUUUUCGUGUGUUCUUAAGUUCUACGCAUUGUUUGUGUUUGUCGUUGCUUGGAUCAACUCUCGGUCCUAAGUCAAGCUUUCCCAAUCGCUCGCCCAAGUCUAGUGUCCUUAGAAGCAUCUGUGUGUGGUCCAUCAGUUUAGGUGGUAGCUUUCCUGCCAGUUAUGCCAUCCUAGACACCGCAUAUAUACACAUCUGAGCUAACCGACAUUCUAAUUGGCCAGUCAUUCGUCUAACCACUCCCUGCUUACAACAGCGGAGCCGAAUAGAAC